RNAcentral lists this ribosomal RNA (253 nucleotides) under uncultured bacterium. Its description in RNAcentral is "partial 16S ribosomal RNA". It matches the Rfam family "Bacterial small subunit ribosomal RNA", at positions 524 to 775 of the family's 1533-position model. The record is from RNAcentral.
UACGAAGGGAGCUAGCGUUGUUCGGAAUCACUGGGCGUAAAGCGCACGUAGGCGGAUGUGUCAGUCAGGGGUGAAAUCCCGGAGCUCAACUUCGGAACUGCCCUUGAUACAGCACAUCUGGAGUCCGGAAGAGGUGGGUGGAAUUCCUAGUGUAGAGGUGAAAUUCGUAGAUAUUAGGAAGAACACCGGUGGCGAAGGCGGCCCACUGGUCCGGUACUGACGCUGAGGUGCGAAAGCGUGGGGAGGCAAACAG